GGCUCCGUAGUUCAGUUGGUCAGAACGCCUGCCUGUCACGCAGGAGGUCGACGGUUCGAGCCCGUUCGGAGUCGCCA
RNAcentral lists this transfer RNA (77 nucleotides) under Methanobrevibacter sp. Its description in RNAcentral is "tRNA-Asp". It matches the Rfam family "tRNA". Rfam says of the family: Transfer RNA (tRNA) molecules are approximately 80 nucleotides in length. Their secondary structure includes four short double-helical elements and three loops (D, anti-codon, and T loops). Further hydrogen bonds mediate the characteristic L-shaped molecular structure. tRNAs have two regions of fundamental functional importance: the anti-codon, which is responsible for specific mRNA codon recognition, and the 3' end, to which the tRNAs corresponding amino acid is attached (by aminoacyl-tRNA synthetases). tRNAs cope with the degeneracy of the genetic code in two manners: having more than one tRNA (with a specific anti-codon) for a particular amino acid; and 'wobble' base-pairing, i.e. permitting non-standard base-pairing at the 3rd anti-codon position. Lineage: Archaea; Methanobacteriati; Methanobacteriota; Methanobacteria; Methanobacteriales; Methanobacteriaceae. The record is from RNAcentral.